AGGACGAACGCUGGCGGCGUGCCUAAGACAUGCAAGUCGAACGGUUCGAGCAAUCGGACAGUGGCGAACGGCGGAGUAAUACAUGAGCAACGUGCCCUAAAGACUGGGAUAGUCACUGGAAACGGUGGGUAAUACCAGAUGUGACGGAAAGCUGGCAUCAGCGAUCCAUUAAAUGGUUUUUCGCUUUAGGAGCGGCUCAUGGCCUAUCAGGUAGUUGGUGAGGUAACGGCCACCAAGGCAUCGACGGGUAGCUGGUCUGAGAGGACGAUCAGCCACACUGGGACUGAGACACGGCCCAGACUCCUACGGGAGGCAGCAGUGGGGAAUCUUGCGCAAUGGGCGAAAGCCUGACGCAGCAACGCCGCGUGGAGGACGAAGGCUUUCUGAGUUGUAAACUCCUUUCAGCAGGGACGAUAGUGACGGUACCUGCAGAAGAAGCACCGGCCAACUACGUGCCAGCAGCCGC
Molecule: ribosomal RNA, 466 nt
Filed under: uncultured bacterium
Lineage: Bacteria
Description: SSU rRNA
Rfam family: Bacterial small subunit ribosomal RNA
Source: RNAcentral